Pongo abelii (Sumatran orangutan) is the source of this 148-nucleotide unclassified non-coding RNA. It matches the Rfam family "Metazoan signal recognition particle RNA". From Rfam's summary of the family: The signal recognition particle (SRP) is a universally conserved ribonucleoprotein. It is involved in the co-translational targeting of proteins to membranes. The eukaryotic SRP consists of a 300-nucleotide 7S RNA and six proteins: SRPs 72, 68, 54, 19, 14, and 9. Lineage: Eukaryota; Metazoa; Chordata; Mammalia; Primates; Hominidae. The record is from Ensembl.
GCCGGGCGUGGUGGUGCACGCCUGUAAUCCCAGCUACUCAGGAGGCUGAGGAAGGAGAAUUGCUUGAACCCAGGAGGCGGAGGUUGCAGUGAGCUGAGAUCGCGCCACUGCACUCCAACCUGGGUGACAGAGCAAGACUCCAUCUCAG